This 1007-nucleotide long non-coding RNA is filed under the name Homo sapiens (human). RNAcentral's name for it is "HSALNT0322964". Lineage: Eukaryota; Metazoa; Chordata; Mammalia; Primates; Hominidae. The record is from RNAcentral.
GAGGAAACACAGGCCCAGAUGGAAAGUGGCUUGCCCAAUCCCACACAGCAAGGCAGAGAUGGAUCCAUCCAGCUCUCUCCUCCCAGCCAGGGCUUAGCGACAACACAGCUACAGGGGCAUGAGAGGCUCAGAGGCCUGGUCCUCUGGCUGGUGGAGCCUUGGAGGCAGUAGUGAAGAUCCCUGGAAGAGGGAGGCCAUGAAGAGGGAUGCAGAUACCUGGCAAGCCCACCUCCCUUCUAUGCCACCUGCCAGCCUUCUCUGACAUUCCCAAACCAGGGACCAACACCGCCAAUCAGGGAAGAUUUACACGCAUUUAAUUAUCCUGCACUGCUCAGAUGUCAGUCUCUAAAUUCCUAACACAAAUGAACAGAAGACAAAAUCAUUUGCAGGAUUCUGAAAUGAAGUUUUUCAGCGGAACACAGAGAAACAGUUAAAUUUUGCAAAGCUGUGAAACUGGAGAGGGGGCUGUCCUCCAAAUCUACCAACCAGAGACCUGGAAGGAAUUACUUGCAUGAGAUUCAUUUCUCUCUGUCUUUCUCUUUCUCCCCUCUCCCCACCUAUCUGCACCAAACUCACCUGCCAAUUUCAUCAGCGAUACUUGAAUGGAUUUUCUAACCUGUUCCACUCCAAAUUGAUCAGUUAAUUAAGUUGAUCUCUACAAGACUGUUAAAGAACCAGGUCUUUUUCCUUUCAUGUUAUGCAGUUCCAAGUAAACUCCCUUUACUCUGGUAUCCUUAUCAGAGGCAGACAUCACAGGAAGUGGAGCAUUCCUUAUGAAUAUCUUAAUCUACACACAAAUAGAUUUUUUUCAAUGUGAAUUUGGAUUUCUAAAAGCACGCUUACUGCAAGUACAUUUUGCAGCCUCUUGUUUCCAGAUCAGAAUUGAGUGAUUUUCUAUUAUUUAUUUAUUUAUUAUUUGUCACUUUAAAAUAUGCAAUUCUUGGGAUCAUGCAGAAUUGCUGUAUAUUUGCUUUGAAGAUUAGAAUAAAACUGGUAGAUAAUGUGGA